This 75-nucleotide transfer RNA is filed under the name Aeromonas phage Aeh1. RNAcentral's name for it is "tRNA-Met". It matches the Rfam family "tRNA". From Rfam's summary of the family: Transfer RNA (tRNA) molecules are approximately 80 nucleotides in length. Lineage: Duplodnaviria; Heunggongvirae; Uroviricota; Caudoviricetes; Pantevenvirales; Straboviridae. The record is from RNAcentral.
GGUGCAUUAGCUCAGUGGUAGAGCUGCGGUUUCAUACGCCGUCGGUCGGUAGUUCGAAUCUACCAUGCACCACCA